Long non-coding RNA from Prunus dulcis (almond), 445 nucleotides. RefSeq lists it as uncharacterized. The transcript has 2 exons. The record is from RefSeq and is a predicted model, not a curated record. NCBI's taxonomy places the organism in Eukaryota, Viridiplantae, Streptophyta, Magnoliopsida, Rosales, Rosaceae.
AUAAGGUUUUCUUAAGUUAUUGUUUCUGCUUCUGAUGAAGAUGGAUGACUUACCAGCAAAGUUGGUGGUAAUUGCAGCACUAGUGUUGCUUCUUAUGGGGGAUUUCCAAUCAACUUGUGCAAUAUUACUUCCUCAUGAAGGUCGUGGGAGGAGUAGUUUAUGGCAUGUUGACGGUAGAGAUGGCUUGACAAAGAUACAUAUUGGAAGAAAACAAGGUAGCUUUGGAUGUCAAGGUGAGAAUUUUAGCAAGAAAAUAAUGCCCAUCCGGCGCUGCUUAAGACCAAUCACUGGGCCGAAGCCACCUUCACCCACUAAAAAUGGACGAAAGCAACAGUUCGUUCCAGUUCCCCCACAAUCCAUUGAUCCUUAAUUCUCCGGGAUCCUAAGUAAUGUUACAUGGAUUGGACCAUAUCUCAAUUGAAUUAGAUAAAUAUGUUCUGUUCUA